This 274-nucleotide ribosomal RNA is filed under the name uncultured bacterium. RNAcentral's name for it is "partial 16S ribosomal RNA". It matches the Rfam family "Bacterial small subunit ribosomal RNA", at positions 523 to 796 of the family's 1533-position model. The record is from RNAcentral.
AUACGAAGGGUGCGAGCGUUAAUCGGAAUUACUGGGCGUAAAGCGCGCGUAGGCGGUUGGAUAAGUCGGAUGUGAAAGCCCCGGGCUCAACCUGGGAAUUGCAUUCGAAACUGUCCGGCUAGAGUAUGGUGGAGGGAAGCGGAAUUCCACAUGUAGCGGUGAAAUGCGUAGAUACGUGGAGGAACACCAGUGGCGAAGGCGGCUUCCUGGACCAAUACUGACGCUGAGGUGCGAAAGCGUGGGGAGCAAACAGGAUUAGAAACCCUAGUAGUCC